GAUGAACGCUGGCGGCGUGCUUAACACAUGCAAGUCGAACGAAGCACUUUAUUAUGAUUUCUUCGGAAUGACGAUUUAGUGACUGAGUGGCGGACGGGUGAGUAACGCGUGGGUAACCUGCCUUAUACAGGGGGAUAACAGUUAGAAAUGACUGCUAAUACCGCAUAAGCGCACAGGAUUGCAUGAUCUAGUGUGAAAAACUCCGGUGGUAUAAGAUGGACCCGCGUCUGAUUAGCUAGUUGGUGAGAUAACAGCCCACCAAGGCGACGAUCGGUAGCCGGACUGAGAGGUUGAACAGCCACAUUGGGACUGAGACACGGCCCAGACUCCUACGGGAGGCAGCAGUGGGGAAUAUUGCACAAUGGGGGAAACCCUGAUGCAGCGACGCCGCGUGGAGGAAGAAGGUCUUCGGAUUGUAAAACUCCUGUUGUUGAGGAAGAUAAUGACGGUACUCAACAAGGAAGUGACGGCUAACUACGUGCCAGC
Molecule: ribosomal RNA, 486 nt
Filed under: uncultured bacterium
Lineage: Bacteria
Description: bacterial SSU rRNA
Rfam family: Bacterial small subunit ribosomal RNA
Source: RNAcentral